CAUGUACUACCUCCGUCCCAAAAUUCUUGUCUUAGAUUUAUCUAGAUACGGAUGUAUUUAACACUAAAACAUGAAUAGAUACAUCACUAAAACAUGAAUAGAUACAUCCGUAUGUAGACAAAUCUAAGACAAAAAUUUUGGGACGGAGGGAGUAUCGU
Molecule: non-coding RNA, 158 nt
Organism: Triticum aestivum (bread wheat)
Lineage: Eukaryota; Viridiplantae; Streptophyta; Magnoliopsida; Poales; Poaceae
Source: Rfam